Molecule: small nuclear RNA, 164 nt
Organism: Oryzias javanicus (javanese ricefish)
Lineage: Eukaryota; Metazoa; Chordata; Actinopteri; Beloniformes; Adrianichthyidae
Gene: U1
Rfam family: U1 spliceosomal RNA
About the family: U1 is a small nuclear RNA (snRNA) component of the spliceosome (involved in pre-mRNA splicing). Its 5' end forms complementary base pairs with the 5' splice junction, thus defining the 5' donor site of an intron.
Source: Ensembl
AUACUUACCUGGCAGGGGUGACACCAUGAUCAAGCAGGUGGUUUGCCCAAGGUGAGGCUCUGUCAUUGCACUCUGACCGUGCUGACCCUUGUGAAUUCCCCAAAUGUGGGAAUCUCAACUGCAUAAUUUGUGGUAGUGGGGGACUGCGUUCGCGCUCUCCCCUG